UAGAGUUUGAUCCUGGCUCAGGACGAACGCUGGCGGCGUGCCUAAUACAUGCAAGUCGAGCGAAUCAAUAGGAGCUUGCUCCUGUUGAUUAGCGGCGGACGGGUAAGUAACACGUGGGCAACCUGCCUGUAAGACUGGGAUAACACCGGGAAACCGGUGCUAAUACCGGAUAAUCUUUUUCCUCUCAUGAGGAAAAACUGAAAGUCGGUUUCGGCUGACACUUACAGAUGGGCCCGCGGCGCAUUAGCUAGUUGGUGAGGUAACGGCUCACCAAGGCGACGAUGCGUAGCCGACCUGAGAGGGUGAUCGGCCACACUGGGACUGAGACACGGCCCAGACUCCUACGGGAGGCAGCAGUAGGGAAUCUUCCACAAUGGACGAAAGUCUGAUGGAGCAACGCCGCGUGAGCGAUGAAGGCCUUCGGGUCGUAAAGCUCUGUUGUUAGGGAAGAACAAGUACCGGAGUAACUGCCGGUACCUUGACGGUACCUAACCAGAAAGCCACGGCUAACUACGUGCCAGCAGCCGCGGUAAUACGUAGGUGGCAAGCGUUGUCCGGAAUUAUUGGGCGUAAAGCGCGCGCAGGCGGUCCUUUAAGUCUGAUGUGAAAGCCCACGGCUCAACCGUGGAGGGUCAUUGGAAACUGGGGGACUUGAGCGCAGAAGAGGAAAGCGGAAUUCCACGUGUAGCGGUGAAAUGCGUAGAGAUGUGGAGGAACACCAGUGGCGAAGGCGGCUUUCUGGUCUGUAACUGNNGCUGAGGCGCG
This 765-nucleotide ribosomal RNA is filed under the name bacterium enrichment culture clone PA_6. Its description in RNAcentral is "bacterial SSU rRNA". It matches the Rfam family "Bacterial small subunit ribosomal RNA", at positions 1 to 755 of the family's 1533-position model. The record is from RNAcentral.